Molecule: ribosomal RNA, 520 nt
Filed under: uncultured Glomus
Lineage: Eukaryota; Fungi; Glomeromycota; Glomeromycetes; Glomerales; Glomeraceae
Description: SSU rRNA
Rfam family: Eukaryotic small subunit ribosomal RNA
Source: RNAcentral
AGCAGCCGCGGUAAUUCCAGCUCCAAUAGCGUAUAUUAAAGUUGUUGCAGUUAAAAAGCUCGUAGUUGAAUUUCGGGGUUAGUAGGUUGGUCGUGCCACUGGUACGUACUGGCGUCGUUGGUUUCUCCCUUCUGACGAACCAUGAUGUCAUUUAUUUGGUGUCGUGGGGAAUCAGGACUGUUACUUUGAAAAAAUUAGAGUGUUUAAAGCAGGCUCACGCUUGAAUACAUUAGCAUGGAAUAAUGAAAUAGGACGUUUGAUUCUAUUUUGUUGGUUUCUAGGAUCGACGUAAUGAUUAAUAGGGAUAGUUGGGGGCAUUAGUAUUCAAUUGUCAGAGGUGAAAUUCUUGGGUUUAUUGAAGACUAACUACUGCGAAAGCAUUUGCCAAGGAUGUUUUCAUUAAUCAGUGAACGAAAGUUAGGGGAUCGAAGACGAUCAGAUACCGUCGUAGUCUUAACCAUAAACUAUGCCGACUAGGGAUCGGGGCGGUGUUUUAANAAUGACUCGCUCGGCACCUUAC